RNAcentral lists this ribosomal RNA (253 nucleotides) under uncultured bacterium. RNAcentral describes it as "partial 16S ribosomal RNA". It matches the Rfam family "Bacterial small subunit ribosomal RNA", at positions 524 to 776 of the family's 1533-position model. The record is from RNAcentral.
UACAGAGGUCCCAAGCGUUGUUCGGAUUUACUGGGCGUAAAGGGUGCGUAGGCGGUCGGGUAAGUCUGACGUGAAAUCUUCAAGCUUAACUUGGAAACUGCGUCGGAUACUAUUCGGCUUGAGGAAUGGAGGGGAGACUGGAAUACUUGGUGUAGCAGUGAAAUGCGUAGAUAUCAAGUGGAACACCAGUGGCGAAGGCGAGUCUCUGGACAAUUCCUGACACUGAGGCACGAAAGCUAGGGGAGCAAACAGG